RNAcentral lists this long non-coding RNA (360 nucleotides) under Mytilus galloprovincialis (Mediterranean mussel). Lineage: Eukaryota; Metazoa; Mollusca; Bivalvia; Mytilida; Mytilidae. The record is from RNAcentral.
CUUCAAUAUUUCAAUGUCUUUUCUCACUUUAAUAUGACCAUCCUUUAUCAAUUCAUUGGAUUCCUUCAUGUUUUUGUGGUCCUCUUGUAACAAUUCAUGGAAUUUCUUUACCUCUUUCUGCUCUUUCUGUAACAAUGCAUAGGCAAGUUUUACUUUUUUAUUGGUUUCUUGUUGCGAUUCAUUGGAUCUACGCAUAUCAAGUUGUGAGCGUUUCAGACCUCUGAAUGAUUUCUUCAACCCUUUAAUUUCAUCAUUAGACCUUUUGAUGUCCAUCAUUAUUUCUUUGUUGGUUUGAUCUAGCUGCAUGGUUGUUAGAUUACCACAUUUCUGCUCCAUUUGCUGUCCACCCAAUCUAUGUAU